UUACGGCCAUAUCACAUUGAAACUUCAUUUCCCGUACGAUCACGGAAGUUAAGCAACGUCGAGCCUGUUCUGUACCUAAAUGGAUGACCGCUUGGGAAUAUCGGGUGCUGUAA
Non-coding RNA from Acanthosepion pharaonis, 113 nucleotides. NCBI's taxonomy places the organism in Eukaryota, Metazoa, Mollusca, Cephalopoda, Sepiida, Sepiidae. The record is from the annotation of a GenBank genome assembly.